RNAcentral lists this ribosomal RNA (465 nucleotides) under uncultured bacterium. Its description in RNAcentral is "SSU rRNA". It matches the Rfam family "Bacterial small subunit ribosomal RNA", at positions 26 to 518 of the family's 1533-position model. The record is from RNAcentral.
AGGAUGAAUGCUGGCGGCGCGCCUAACACAUGCAAGUCGAGCGGUAACAGGGGUAGUUUACUACCUGCUGACGAGCGGCGGACGGCUGAGUAACGCGUGGGAACAUGCCCCAAAGUGAGGAAUAACUGCCCGAAAGGGUAGCUAAUGCCGCAUAGUAUCUUAGGAUUAAAGGAUUUAUCCGCUUUGGGAGUGGCCCGCGUACGAUUAGAUAGUUGGUGAGGUAAUGGCUUUACCAAGUCUACGAUCGUUAACUGGUCUGAGAGGAUGACCAGUCAGACUGGAACUGAGACACGGUCCAGACUCCUACGGGAGGCAGCAGUGAGGAAUCUUCCACAAUGGGCGAAAGCCUGAUGGAGCGACGCCGCGUGCAGGAUGAAGGCCCUCGGGUUGUAAACUGCUUUUAUAAGUGAAGAAUAUGACGGUAACUUAUGAAUAAGCACCGGCUAACUACGUGCCAGCAGCCGC